UCUCCUUGUUGCUUUCUCUGUCCAGGUAUUAUGCUGUGUCGCACAUAUUUCCAGAUGUUUUGCUCAAUGAUAUUGCUGGCCCUGAUGGAGAUCCUUUGCUUUUGAGUUUGAAACUUGCAGUGGAUGUCUUAGUUGUUUCCUGCCCUUGUGCUUUGGGUCUUGCCACACCAACAGCAAUCCUUGUUGGCAUCUCCCUCGCAGCAAGACAAGGACUGCUUAUAAGAGGUGCAGAUGUUCUAGAGCGCUUGGCCAAUGUAGACCAUGUAGCUUUUGACAAAACAGGGACUCUCACUGAAGGAAAACCCAGUGUCUCUUCGGUGGCUUCCUUUACUUAUGAUGAAUCAGAAAUUCUUCAAAUUGCUGCUGCAGUAGAGAGAAC
This is a long non-coding RNA of Hibiscus syriacus, 379 nucleotides long. RefSeq lists it as uncharacterized. The record is from RefSeq and is a predicted model, not a curated record. NCBI's taxonomy places the organism in Eukaryota, Viridiplantae, Streptophyta, Magnoliopsida, Malvales, Malvaceae. The transcript is spliced from 4 exons.